Molecule: transfer RNA, 87 nt
Filed under: Candidatus Nealsonbacteria bacterium CG_4_10_14_0_2_um_filter_37_10
Lineage: Bacteria; Candidatus Nealsoniibacteriota
Also listed under: 1 other name
Description: tRNA-Ser
Rfam family: tRNA
About the family: Transfer RNA (tRNA) molecules are approximately 80 nucleotides in length.
Source: RNAcentral
GGUGGGUUGUGCCGAAUUGGUAAGGCGAUGGUCCCGAAAACCAUUGGGAGAAAUCCCUUGCAGGUUCGAGUCCUGCACCCACCGCCA